CUCUGCUGGUAUUGAUGGAUGGUAUAGGUCUCACACUCUGCUGGUAUUGAUGGAUGGUAUAGGUCUCACUCUGCUGGUAUUGAUGGCUGGUAUAGGUCUCACUCUGCUGGUAUUGAUGGAUGGUACAGGUCUCACACUCUGCUGGUAUUGAUGGCUGGUAUAGGUCUCACUCUGCUGGUAUUGAUGGAUGGUAUAGGUCUCACUCUGCUGGUAUUGAUGGCUGGUAAAGGUCUCACUCUGCUGGUAUUGAUGGAUGGUAUAGGUCUCACUCUGCUGGUAUUGAUGGAUGGUAUAGGUCUCACUCUGCUGGUAUUGAUGGCUGGUAUAGGUCUCACACUCUGCUGGUAUUGAUGGAUGGUAUAGGUCUCACACUCUGCUGGUAUUGAUGGAUGGUAUAG
RNAcentral lists this long non-coding RNA (398 nucleotides) under Salmo salar (Atlantic salmon). RNAcentral's name for it is "lncRNA (ENSSSAG00000119483.1)". Lineage: Eukaryota; Metazoa; Chordata; Actinopteri; Salmoniformes; Salmonidae. The record is from RNAcentral.